UCUCCGGUGGCUGAGUGGUAGAGAAUCCGCCUGCAGUGUGGGAGACCCGGGUUCAAUCCCUGGGUGGGGAA
Molecule: transfer RNA, 71 nt
Filed under: Bos taurus (domestic cattle)
Lineage: Eukaryota; Metazoa; Chordata; Mammalia; Artiodactyla; Bovidae
Also listed under: 1 other name
Rfam family: tRNA
About the family: Transfer RNA (tRNA) molecules are approximately 80 nucleotides in length. Their secondary structure includes four short double-helical elements and three loops (D, anti-codon, and T loops).
Source: Rfam by way of RNAcentral